This 393-nucleotide ribosomal RNA is filed under the name uncultured bacterium. RNAcentral's name for it is "partial 16S ribosomal RNA". It matches the Rfam family "Bacterial small subunit ribosomal RNA", at positions 523 to 918 of the family's 1533-position model. The record is from RNAcentral.
AUACGGAGGAUGCGAGCGUUAUCCGGAUUUAUUGGGUUUAAAGGGUGCGUAGGCGGUUUGUCAAGUCAGCGGUGAAACGCAAGGGCUUAACCCUUGACCUGCCGUUGAAACUGAUUGACUAGAAUGCGGAUGCUGUGGGAGGAAUGUGUGGUGUAGCGGUGAAAUGCAUAGAUAUCACACAGAACACCGAUUGCGAAGGCAUCUCACAAAUCCGUGAUUGACGCUGAGGCACGAAAGUGUGGGGAUCAAACAGGAUUAGAUACCCUGGUAGUCCACACUGUAAACGAUGAUAACUCGCUGUCGGCGAUACACAGUCGGUGGCCAAGCGAAAGCGAUAAGUUAUCCACCUGGGGAGUACGUCCGCAAGGUUGAAACUCAAAUGAAUUGACGGGG